GACGAACGCUGGCGGCGUGCUUAACACAUGCAAGUCGAACGGAAAGGCCCUGCUUUUGUGGGGUGCUCGAGUGGCGAACGGGUGAGUAGCACGUGGGUAACCUGCCCUUGACUUUGGGAUAACUUCAGGAAACUGGGGCUAAUACCGGAUAGGAGCUCCUGCUGCAUGGUGGGGGUUGGAAAGUUUCGGCGGUUGGGGAUGGGCUCGCGGCUUAUCAGCUUGUUGGUGGGGUAGUGGCUUACCAAGGCUUUGACGGGUAGCCGGCCUGAGAGGGUGACCGGCCACAUUGGGACUGAGAUACGGCCCAGACUCCUACGGGAGGCAGCAGUGGGGAAUAUUGCACAAUGGGCGGAAGCCUGAUGCAGCAACGCCGCGUGCGGGAUGACGGCCUUCGGGUUGUAAACCGCUUUCGCCUGUGACGAAGCGUGAGUGACGGUAAUGGGUAAAGAAGCACCGGCUAACUACGUG
Molecule: ribosomal RNA, 468 nt
Filed under: uncultured bacterium
Lineage: Bacteria
Description: partial 16S ribosomal RNA
Rfam family: Bacterial small subunit ribosomal RNA
Source: RNAcentral